GGCCAUAGCGCCGUGGAACCACCUGAUCCCAUGCCGAACUCAGAAGUGAAACGCGGUAGCGCC
This 63-nucleotide ribosomal RNA is filed under the name Aeromonas salmonicida. Lineage: Bacteria; Pseudomonadati; Pseudomonadota; Gammaproteobacteria; Aeromonadales; Aeromonadaceae. The record is from RNAcentral.